This 1661-nucleotide long non-coding RNA is filed under the name Homo sapiens (human). RNAcentral describes it as "HSALNT0396542". Lineage: Eukaryota; Metazoa; Chordata; Mammalia; Primates; Hominidae. The record is from RNAcentral.
UCAGGUGAUCCACCCACCUCGGCCUCCCAAAGUGCUGGGAUUACAGGCGUGAGCCACCGCGCCCGGCAACCUGAUGGGUUUCAAAUGACCCCCCGGGUGCUCCACAUCUCAAAAGUUGCUCCCAUGAAUCUGGAAUGCUAUCUGUUCCUUGGGGAUCAGGUCCCACCUGUGUCUCUGAGACACUGACUUGAGAUGAGGCCAAUGAGUUCAAGCAUAAAUUGCCUAAGUCAUCAUCAGCUUCAUGUUGUGUUCUGGAGCUUGUCCACUUAAGAGGGUUGAUUUAAAAAUGGCUCACAAGACACAUGCCUGGGAAACGGAGUUUUCUCCUUUGCUCUUAGCAGAUCUUGGGCAACCCAAUAAUUAACCUUCUUGAUUUCUCAACUUUCACAUUUGCGAAAAAGGCGCUAAUGCCCGUGACAUUUCCCUGAAGACACAGUCCUUGUCACCCCCUACAAAGCUCUGAAGUUGUGCACAGGUGGGCCAGGUGGCUGAUUUCUCUCAAAAGCAGCUGAGCUCGCGCUCUGGCUAGAGAAGGCAGAGGGCUGCGGCACAACGGACAUUGUCUCAGACAUCAGGACAGUUUCCAUUGCAGUUUAGGAAAGAAGGCAGCUCCCUGGGCUGGAAAUGACGCAACACUCUGGAAAGACCCUUGGGUGCGGGUGAGAGAGGCAACCCAGCUGCAUAGGGCCAAUGAGAGGAGGCCGAACCACCCGAUUUGGACAAAGGAGUUCCUACCAUAUUUUAUUUGCAAGCCAUUUCUCCCACAUUAUUCUGGAAGGCUGAAGCCUGUCGAUGCAUCCAAAAAUAGAUCUGUCCUGGAUCUUUUCUCACAAGUCAGCCAGCUGUCAAGACACCUGAGAUGUGAUUCUUUCACAUGGCAGAGCCUCUCGUCAAAACAUGAACUGAGCUUCCUCUUAUCUUAUGGACAGCUGAUGCGUGGAGGUGGAUUUAUGAAUUGGCCUCAUGCUGCACUCAAGCAGUUUGGCCAGGACUCAAUGCUCAUUGCCAAGAUGAAAAUCAGCAAACUAGCAGUUUGCUUUUAUGAUGUUCUCCAGCCUGCAACCAAGACACUUAUCCUGGCCACUUCUUCAGCUCUGACAUAAGGUUGUGCUGAUAUAAAUGCAAACCCAGCUCUAUGUCUACCAAACACCUAUAUGGCUAGGACUGCAAAUGGAGCAUUUAAGCACCAGGCAAGAGGUCUUCCCAGUUUCCAACCAGACUUUGUAGAAUUUCCCCAAAAUACUGACUUAGCCUCUUUCAGACCCUAUCUCCCAAAGAGAAUCAGAGAGGGGCUCUGGAAGCCAUUUAGACUGUCUGGCCUCUUCCCUAGUGAAAAUGGACUUGGAUACAAAAAGGCAACCUACUGACCUCAAAGAUACCAGCCCAGAUACUGAGCAUGGACCUCCUGCCUCCCCAGGACAGACGUCAUCUAAGCCAGAUCAAAGCCCACACUGUUCCUCCAUGUGCACCUUUCAGACAUGUUCCUGAACAGCCCUCUAGAAUUGUCUGGAGAUGGGACAAGAGGUGAUGGAGCUCCAGGUUCAGAAUGGCUGCCUCAUCCCUCCCUCCUGAAAAGUCUAUACCUGCUGAUUAGAGCUCUCACACCUUAAGGGGCUUAGCCCUCCCCAAGCAGACACGUGGCGGGGUGCAGUGGCUCACGC